GGCAGUCGUGGCCUAAUGGUUAGAGAGUCGGACUUGCAACCCGAAGGUCAUGGGUUUGAGUCUCAGGUCUGGCA
Molecule: non-coding RNA, 74 nt
Organism: Pangasius djambal
Lineage: Eukaryota; Metazoa; Chordata; Actinopteri; Siluriformes; Pangasiidae
Source: the annotation of a GenBank genome assembly